CCUUUAACAGUAUGCUGUUCCAGUUUGACUGCUAGGAGUGUAAACCUAUUCGUAUGGUUUUUCCUAUUCGGCUGUUUACGGCAUUCGUAUGGUUUCCUGUUCGGUGGAUUGGUGUUCUGCAGUAGCUGUGCCUGCAUCUCUGGAAAGGGGGACAAUCGCCUAAACGGUUUUUACCCCUUGUGUGCUGAAACGGUCCGUUACAGUAUUAACAUAAAUCUCCCUUGACAGGUCAUAUAGAGAUCACAGAAAGGUGGUCUCCAGAGAUCACUUGAAAGGGGGGAAAAGCCUAUAUAUGGCUGAAACAGUUGCUAAUAAAUACAUGGCAUUAUAUUAACUUGGAGAAUAUACCCAAAGUGGCCGUCCUGGUUAGACCAAGAUUCGCUGCACCAGAGUUUAUGAUGUUUUGGCUGGGGCUCCCGCCAUCCGCCACUCCGCCUGGGCUCUUCUUGGGGAAGCCCCGACCGCUCGGGGGGGGGGGCAUUAGAAUUGUUCCACAGGCCCCAUUCUGUGAGUAACUCCAUACCCUUGAUUGGGUCAUUCACCAUUUGGGUUUUCCCCUGCCUCCAGAUUAGCAGUUUGGUGGGGUAGCCCCAUCUGUAGGACACAUUAUUGUUGCAUAGUGUUUUAGUAAUGGUGAUGAAUUCUUUGCGUCUCACCAUUGUGGCUGCUGCCAAGUCCGCAAACAAAGCAAUGUGUUGAUGGGGGUCUGGAAGCGUGGGAGAUUUUCUAGCUGCUGCCAGAAGCGUGUCUUUAUGGGCAAAGUAAUGGAAUCUGACGAUGACCUCGCUUGACAAGCAGCUUGGAAGCGGGAGUCUGUGCAACUGCUCUCACCUGAAGUUAGCCACACACACUUUUUUUUUUUUUAAAUCUGGGGCCCAGAAAAAGUGAUCCUACAAGUUGCCAGCAAGAGGCAUGUGUCUUGGUUGGAAUCAUGCAUGUUGCGGUUGCCUCCAAGCUAGCUGGAGGUUGGACCGCUGGGAUACCCUGGUUCCCGAUGUUGGAGAGUGAGAGCGCUGCUCCGAGCUGCAUUCAGCAAUAAAUCCUGAAAGUGUAGAAUAAC
This is a non-coding RNA of Pelobates cultripes (western spadefoot toad), 1060 nucleotides long. The record is from the annotation of a GenBank genome assembly. NCBI's taxonomy places the organism in Eukaryota, Metazoa, Chordata, Amphibia, Anura, Pelobatidae.